CUUUUUUCUUUUUUUUCCAAAUAUAUAUAUUUUUAUGAAUUUUUUAAAGCAUCGUAGAAAUGUUUCCGCCAUAAUGAGUGAAAUGGGAAUGAUCAUUAAGAGAGAGAAAAUAAUGAGGACUUGAACAGAAGCCCCUCGUGGGAUGCCAGGGCUGGCGGGACAGAAUGACGUUAAACAAUGAGGUUAUGAUUCCUUAAAUCACUGAUCGGCUCCAAUCACGAGUGAGGAAGCUUUUCUUUCACAACUGCCUUCCACAACCCUGUAUCUAGUAAGAAAAUACCAGUUUAGUAAAGCCUUUAACCUUAAACUUUAAACUUUCUUACAAACGCUUCACUUCUGGUGCUCAGCCCUGUCCUUUCCCUUCCUUCAGCUCCUGUAUUUCCUCCCACUUAAAACAUGAACUGCCCUUUUUAGAUAUUCCAGAGAGUUCCACUUUUUCCAGUUACAUAUUUAAAUGCUUAAAUACAAACACUUCAAUCUGCAACUCCUUUGUAUCCUAUAACGAUUCAAUCCAUAAGCUAACAUCUAUCUGCAGGUCUGCUAUGGGUGUCAUAAAUAUGCAAAGCCAAAUUUGACAGCUUCAGAGUAUGGCAUUUUAUUGCUGUUUUUUUCUAUUAGAAUCCCAUUUCUUUUAAACCUUGUAAUUCUGGUUUGAAAAGAUCUCUCCAGAAACAGAUACGAUCUCACUGAGGAAUAGCCUGGUGACAACCCAGCUCUGAUUAUUUCCCAAACUCUGAAAUUUGUAAUUAAACACUUUCACCCACAGGAAGAUGCUGAAUUUUCACAGGAAAAUGGGAAAACUAAAAGAAUUUGUGAAUCUUUAUGAAAGGGCAAACAUUAUAGAGACAGCAUUGGGGAAAACCAACUGCAAACAGUAUUGGAUCAUUUGCUAUUUUCUGAAUAGCAAUUGAUUAUUAAACUACACUAUUAGAGGUUAGACAACCAGUGCAAGGCACCUGCACAUACAGCCAGUACUAUAUAUAGGUAAAUCAGAAGUGCAUUUAAUUCCCAAUACUCUGUUUAAUUCCCAAUACUCUGCUCCAUUGCAGUAGCCACUUACUGGUUUGCUGCAAAUGCUCUGACUCAAUUUACAGGAAGAACAUUGCAGGAAUUUUGAUUUCCACAUCAGAUUUCCAGGUCACCAACCAAAGAACUGUGUUUUUUUCUGUCUCUUAGCAACGCCACCUGAAAACUUCGAGCCAAACAGUCCUGCUUUGCCUUCAAAACCAGAAUGAGGUUCUUCAGUCAGAACUUAGCUGAUAUUUGAAGCAAAGCAAAAUCCACCUCCCUUUUCCCCAGCUGUACUCUGCUGACAGGAACAGACAUUUGGUUGCUUCAGUAAAGGAAGAAGACGUGACUCGGAGACACAUAGGGAGCAGAUUUGUUGAGUAAGAAGGUGCUAUUUUUACAAAGUCACUUUACAUUGUGCGAUGUUGAACGUUUACAGGGAGGGAAAGGUGCUGAGGCAGCAUUUUCCAGUUGCGCAGCAUCAUGCCGGGUGAUGCCUGGAUGCAGCACCCAGGGAAUGAGGAGCAGGGUUAUCUGUGGCCAUUGGCUGAGUAACAGCUUCACAUUGAAAAAUACAUUUGAGAGAAAAUAAAACUUGCUCAUGACCAAGUUAGAAAAGGCAGAAUUAUUCCAAUUAAUGCUGCAUUUUUAACUCAGAUUAAAUACUGGAGAUUCACAUCCAGUGUGCUGCCCACCUGCAGGGUCUGUCUGAAAGCCAUGGGACCAACAGAUGUUCAGCAGAGCUGAAAAUCAGAGCUACAAAUCCACACAGGAAUCUAGGAACAAGCAUAUGCCCAAAUACCUUUCUGGAUACAAGCCUUAGUCACUGAUGCUACCAAAAUCAUCAUAUAUAAUGAGCCAAAGGUUUGAAAGUUUCUUGGAUUCAAAACCAGGUAGAAAUGUUGUCAUUUGAUCCAAAAUAGGCCAAUUGGAUUGGUUUGGCUUUAUUUUAGCUGAUUUCAUAGAAGAAUAGUCCUGGCAUCUACUGCAUUUCAGUAGUACCAAUACUUUGAACUACCUGGUCUUUUUUAAACAUCAGUUGUAUAAAACUGAAUCAGCAACACACCAAGAUUCAGAAUUCAGAGCAACCUCUUUGUGCCUCAUCCUCUGCUGAGUUGCUCCCGUCACUGAUCUCAGCGUAAAAGCCAUUGUCUAUCACUGAGUAAAGCAGGGCCUUUUCUUUGGGGUCCCUUUUCCAUCCCCACAAUAAACGUGUUGCAGAUGUUUGCAAGAAUCACAAAAGGCAAAACAGAAAGCGUUGAACUCAGUGGGGAAUAUGAGCAAAGAGCUUAAAGCCUGAUAGUGCUGCGCCUCUUGCUAUUUACGCAUUGAAAAAC
RNAcentral lists this long non-coding RNA (2345 nucleotides) under Strigops habroptila (Kakapo). RNAcentral's name for it is "lncRNA (ENSSHBG00005012036.1)". Lineage: Eukaryota; Metazoa; Chordata; Aves; Psittaciformes; Psittacidae. The record is from RNAcentral.